CUUACAGAAAAAAAACUGUUCAAGGACAGAGUAGAUUUUUUAAAAUAACUUCCUUUUCUCACCAGGUAAUCAUUCAGGGCUUUCGAAGCUACAGGGACCAAACCAUUGUGGACCCAUUCAGCUCCAAACACAAUGUCAUUGUGGGAAGAAAUGGAUCUGGCAAAAGCAACUUUUUUUAUGCAAUUCAGUUUGUCCUCAGUGAUGAGUUUAGUCAUCUUCGCCCAGAGCAGAGACUGGCUUUAUUGCAUGAAGGUACAGGUCCUCGUGUUAUUUCGGCAUUUGUGGAGAUUAUAUUUGACAAUUCCGACAACAGGUUACCGAUUGAUAAAGAGGAAGUCUCACUUCGCAGAGUCAUUGGAGCCAAGAAGGACC
Molecule: long non-coding RNA, 372 nt
Filed under: Zosterops lateralis melanops
Lineage: Eukaryota; Metazoa; Chordata; Aves; Passeriformes; Zosteropidae
Description: lncRNA (ENSZLMG00000002170.1)
Source: RNAcentral